RNA transcript from Eurypyga helias (sunbittern), 377 nucleotides. It is a transcript of the gene named transmembrane protein C5orf28 pseudogene, with no coding region annotated. The transcript has a single exon. Lineage: Eukaryota; Metazoa; Chordata; Aves; Eurypygiformes; Eurypygidae. The record is from RefSeq and is a predicted model, not a curated record.
AGACAGAGGACAAUGCACAGUGUACAUCCUGAUGACAUUUUGUGUGCUGUGACAUGGUUUUUGCCAUGGCAUCUGAGACUGAAAAGGCCCAUGCUCUUCUCCAAACUUUCAGCACCGCUUCAGUUAUUUCUAGUCUAGGUUUGGGAAUAUUCUGCUUUGUAGCAGACAGACUUCUGCAGUUUUCCUUCAUUCAGCAAAAUGACUGGCUCCGAGCCUUCUCUGAUAAUGCUGUGCAUGGGAUACUAGGAAUGUGGUCCUGGGCAAUAGUGAUUGGACUCAGGAAGAAAAGUGACUUCACUGAGGUCACUCUAGCUGGCUUCCUCGCUUCUGUCAUUGAUGUGGACCACUUCUUUCUUGCUGGCUCCCUGUCAUUAAAG